ACUCUCUCAAUCCCCCUCCUCCUUCUCGUUGGUUUUCCAAUGAAAUAAUUUAUGUUAAUAAUUAAGCUGAGAGACUACGUGGCAUGACGUAACUAGUAGACGUAGAUAUCUUUUUAAGGCUAAGUAGUUAAAGUUAUAUUAUUCUUACAAAACAUCGUUUUUAUUAUUUAUUUUGCGUAUUAAAUCACUCUUUCGAAAACAUUUUACAAAAAAAAAACUGAAUACCUUAUAAACAUGGAGACUGACUGGCUGCAGCACCAUAAUAGAAUAAUCCUAUUCAUAGUUACUUAGACAAUGAAGAUGAUGUUAAAAUGUUGCGAUGAAUUGUGAUAAAUUGUUUUAAUACUUGAGUAACCAGAAUUGGCGCGUCGUAGGUCACGUGAACAAGUUUGGGAGAUUCAAAUUAAGUUUUACGCACGAGCAUGUUUAGGUAGACUUAGAUACAUCAAAAAUAUGGAAGCACUUUUAUUUGAUUUUUAAAAGGUUUUUGUAAAUUAAAAAAAAAAACUUUCAUCUACAAAUAUUUACGAAUGUAAUAUUCUUGCC
Non-coding RNA from Hydra vulgaris (swiftwater hydra), 546 nucleotides. The record is from RefSeq and is a predicted model, not a curated record. Lineage: Eukaryota; Metazoa; Cnidaria; Hydrozoa; Anthoathecata; Hydridae.